UGUACCCCGAUGAUAUGGAAAUUAACUUUAAGCAGGCUGGAAAGAGAACAGGGAACGCGGCUGAAAUUCCCUGACAGAACCGUAAAGUGAACAACACCAUGGAGGAUUCAUGCUGAAAUCAGUAGGCAUGGACGGAACCGGCCGUUAUCCGGAUUCGAGUGGGCACAUUUGUGUCAAUUUGGGUGGAACCGCGGAAGCUUCAAGCUCUCGUCCCUGUG
RNAcentral lists this non-coding RNA (218 nucleotides) under Sporosarcina sp. Its description in RNAcentral is "T-box sequence". It matches the Rfam family "T-box leader". Rfam says of the family: Uncharged tRNA acts as the effector for transcription antitermination of genes in the T-box leader family. Lineage: Bacteria; Bacillati; Bacillota; Bacilli; Caryophanales; Caryophanaceae. The record is from RNAcentral.